Molecule: ribosomal RNA, 109 nt
Filed under: Pteropus alecto (black flying fox)
Lineage: Eukaryota; Metazoa; Chordata; Mammalia; Chiroptera; Pteropodidae
Source: RNAcentral
UUCUAGAGCCAUGCCAUCCUGAAUGCACCUGAUCUAGGAAGCUAAGCAGGGCUGGGCCUGGUUAGUGCUUGGAUGGGAGACCACCUAGGAAUAUAGGGUGUUGUAGGCA